Small nuclear RNA from Ochotona curzoniae (black-lipped pika), 162 nucleotides. RefSeq annotates it as U1 spliceosomal RNA. The record is from RefSeq and is a predicted model, not a curated record. NCBI's taxonomy places the organism in Eukaryota, Metazoa, Chordata, Mammalia, Lagomorpha, Ochotonidae. The transcript has a single exon.
CUGAUUAACUGGCAGGGGGAUACCAUGAUCACGCAGAUGGAUUUUCCAGGGCGAGGCUCACCCAUUGCAUUUAGGAUGUGCUUGCCCCUGUGAUGUCCUCAAAUGUGGGAAACUCUACUGCAUAAUUUGUGGCAGUACUAACUGCAUCAUUUUCAGUUAGAA